RNAcentral lists this ribosomal RNA (468 nucleotides) under uncultured bacterium. Its description in RNAcentral is "partial 16S ribosomal RNA". It matches the Rfam family "Bacterial small subunit ribosomal RNA", at positions 28 to 507 of the family's 1533-position model. The record is from RNAcentral.
GACGAACGCUGGCGGCGUGCUUAACACAUGCAAGUCGAACGGAAAGGCCCUGCUUUUGUGGGGUGCUCGAGUGGCGAACGGGUGAGUAACACGUGAGUAACCUGCCCUUGACUUUGGGAUAACUUCAGGAAACUGGGGCUAAUACCGGAUAGGAGCUCCUGCUGCAUGGUGGGGGUUGGAAAGUUUCGGCGGUUGGGGAUGGACUCGCGGCUUAUCAGCUUGUUGGUGGGGUAGUGGCUUACCAAGGCUUUGACGGGUAGCCGGCCUGAGAGGGUGACCGGCCACAUUGGGACUGAGAUACGGCCCAGAGUCCUACGGGAGACAGCAGUGGGGAAUAUUGCACAAUGGGCGGAAGCCUGAUGCAGCAACGCCGCGUGCGGGAUGACGGCCUUCGGGUUGUAAACCGCUUUCGCCUGUGACGAAGCGUGAGUGACGGUAAUGGGUAAAGAAGCACCGGCUAACUACGUG